UUGACCUCGAAUCAGGUAGGAAUACCCGCUGAACUUAAGCAUAUCAAUAAGCGGAGGAAAAGAAACCAACAGGGAUUGCCCCAGUAACGGCGAGUGAAGCGGCAACAGCUCAAAUUUGAAAUCUGGCUCUCGGGCCCGAGUUGUAAUUUGUAGAGGAUGCUUUUGGUGAGGUGCCUUCCGAGUUCCCUGGAACGGGACGCCAUAGAGGGUGAGAGCCCCGUCUGGUUGGACACCGAUCCUCUGUAAAGCUCCUUCGACGAGUCGAGUAGUUUGGGAAUGCUGCUCUAAAUGGGAGGUAUAUGUCUUCUAAAGCUAAAUACCGGCCAGAGACCGAUAGCGCACAAGUAGAGUGAUCGAAAGAUGAAAAGAACUUUGAAAAGAGAGUUAAACAGUACGUGAAAUUGUUGAAAGGGAAGCGCUUGUGACCAGACUUGGGCUUGGUUGAUCAUCCGGGGUUCUCCCCGGUGCACUCUUCCGGCUCAGGCCAGCAUCAGUUCGCCCUGGGGGAUAAAGGCUUCGGGAAUGUGGCUCUCUCCGGGGAGUGUUA
RNAcentral lists this ribosomal RNA (547 nucleotides) under Fusarium solani. Its description in RNAcentral is "eukaryotic LSU rRNA". It matches the Rfam family "Eukaryotic large subunit ribosomal RNA", at positions 1 to 558 of the family's 3401-position model. Lineage: Eukaryota; Fungi; Ascomycota; Sordariomycetes; Hypocreales; Nectriaceae. The record is from RNAcentral.